AUCACCUGAGGGUCUUGUUAAAAUGCAGAUUCUGAUUCCGUAGGGCUGGCUGGGGCCUGGGAAUCUGCCUUUUCAGCAAGCUCCCAGGUGAUGCGGU
RNAcentral lists this microRNA precursor (97 nucleotides) under Loxodonta africana (African savanna elephant). RNAcentral's name for it is "mir-544 microRNA precursor family". It matches the Rfam family "mir-544 microRNA precursor family". Lineage: Eukaryota; Metazoa; Chordata; Mammalia; Proboscidea; Elephantidae. The record is from Rfam by way of RNAcentral.